This 84-nucleotide transfer RNA is filed under the name Lentisphaerota bacterium. RNAcentral describes it as "Lentisphaerae bacterium (hot springs metagenome) tRNA-Leu". It matches the Rfam family "tRNA". Rfam says of the family: Transfer RNA (tRNA) molecules are approximately 80 nucleotides in length. The record is from RNAcentral. Lineage: Bacteria; Pseudomonadati; Lentisphaerota.
GCACCCGUGGUGGAACUGGUAGACACGCAAGGCUCAGGACCUUGUGGCUGCAAAGCUGUGGAGGUUCGAAUCCUCUCGGGUGCA